AGCGAACGCUGGCGGCAGGCCUAAACAUGCAAGUCGAACGGAUCCUUCGGGAUUAGUGGCGGACGGGUGAGUAACACGUGGGAACGUGCCUUUUGGUUCGGAACAACUCAGGGAAACUUGAGCUAAUACCGAAUGUGCCCUUCGGGGGGAAAGAUUUAUCGCCAUUAGAGCGGCCCGCGUCUGAUUAGCUUGUUGGUGAGGUAAAGGCUCACCAAGGCGACGAUCAGUAGCUGGUCUGAGAGGAUGAUCAGCCACACUGGGACUGAGACACGGCCCAGACUCCUACGGGAGGCAGCAGUUAGGAAUCUUGCGCAAUGGGGGAAACCCUGACGCAGCCAUGCCGCGUGAAUGAUGAAGGUCUUAGGAUUGUAAAAUUCUUUCAGCGGGGACGAUAAUGACGGUACCCGCAGAAGAAGCCCCGGCUAACUUCGUG
RNAcentral lists this ribosomal RNA (433 nucleotides) under uncultured bacterium. Its description in RNAcentral is "bacterial SSU rRNA". It matches the Rfam family "Bacterial small subunit ribosomal RNA", at positions 29 to 507 of the family's 1533-position model. The record is from RNAcentral.